RNAcentral lists this ribosomal RNA (574 nucleotides) under Escherichia coli. Its description in RNAcentral is "partial 23S ribosomal RNA". It matches the Rfam family "Bacterial large subunit ribosomal RNA", at positions 667 to 1239 of the family's 2925-position model. The record is from RNAcentral. Lineage: Bacteria; Pseudomonadati; Pseudomonadota; Gammaproteobacteria; Enterobacterales; Enterobacteriaceae.
CGAAGGGAAACCGAGUCUUAACCGGGCGUUAAGUUGCAGGGUAUAGACCCGAAACCCGGUGAUCUAGCCAUGGGCAGGUUGAAGGUUGGGUAACACUAACUGGAGGACCGAACCGACUAAUGUUGAAAAAUUAGCGGAUGACUUGUGGCUGGGGGUGAAAGGCCAAUCAAACCGGGAGAUAGCUGGUUCUCCCCGAAAGCUAUUUAGGUAGCGCCUCGUGAAUUCAUCUCCGGGGGUAGAGCACUGUUUCGGCAAGGGGGUCAUCCCGACUUACCAACCCGAUGCAAACUGCGAAUACCGGAGAAUGUUAUCACGGGAGACACACGGCGGGUGCUAACGUCCGUCGUGAAGAGGGAAACAACCCAGACCGCCAGCUAAGGUCCCAAAGUCAUGGUUAAGUGGGAAACGAUGUGGGAAGGCCCAGACAGCCAGGAUGUUGGCUUAGAAGCAGCCAUCAUUUAAAGAAAGCGUAAUAGCUCACUGGUCGAGUCGGCCUGCGCGGAAGAUGUAACGGGGCUAAACCAUGCACCGAAGCUGCGGCAGCGACACUGUGUGUUGUUGGGUAGGGGAGCGU